This 288-nucleotide ribosomal RNA is filed under the name uncultured bacterium. RNAcentral's name for it is "partial 16S ribosomal RNA". It matches the Rfam family "Bacterial small subunit ribosomal RNA", at positions 334 to 618 of the family's 1533-position model. The record is from RNAcentral.
CCGUCCUACGGGACGCAGCAGUGAGGAAUAUUGGUCAAUGGGCGAGAGCCUGAACCAGCCAAGUCGCGUGAAGGAUGACGGCCCUAUGGGUUGUAAACUUCUUUUGUCAGGGAGCAAUUGGGUCCACGCGUGGGCUUAGCGAGAGUACCUGAAGAAAAAGCAUCGGCUAACUCCGUGCCAGCAGCCGCGGUAAUACGGAGGAUGCGAGCGUUAUCCGGAUUUAUUGGGUUUAAAGGGUGCGUAGGCGGAAGAUCAAGUCAGCGGUAAAAAUACGGGGCUCAACCCCGU